Molecule: ribosomal RNA, 495 nt
Filed under: uncultured bacterium
Lineage: Bacteria
Description: bacterial SSU rRNA
Rfam family: Bacterial small subunit ribosomal RNA
Source: RNAcentral
GAGUUUGAUCCUGGCUCAGGAUGAACGCUGGCGGCGUGCUUAACACAUGCAAGUCGAGCGGAGGUUUAAAGCGGAAGUUUUCGGAUGGAAGCAGUAAACCUUAGCGGCGGACGGGUGAGUAACGCGUGGGUAACCUGCCUCAUACAGGGGGAUAACAGUUAGAAAUGACUGCUAAAACCGCAUAAGCGCACAUUGUCGAGUGACAGAGUGUGAAAAACUCCGGUGGUAUGAGAUGGACCCGCGUCUGAUUAGCUAGUUGGUGAGGUAACGGCCCACCAAGGCGACGAUCAGUAGCCGGCCUGAGAGGGCGACCGGCCACAUUGGGACUGAGACACGGCCCAAACUCCUACGGGAGGCAGCAGUGGGGAAUAUUGCACAAUGGGGGAAACCCUGAUGCAGCGACGCCGCGUGAGUGAAGAAGUAUUUCGGUAUGUAAAGCUCUAUCAGCAGGGAAGAAGAAAGACGGUACCUGACUAAGAAGCCCCGGCUAACUAC